GCAUGCGCAGCUACACAUGCAGUCGAGCGAGCUCUUCGGAGCUAGCGGCGGACGGGUUAGUAACGCGUGGGAACGUGCCCUUCACUGCGGAAUAGCCACUGGAAACGGUGAGUAAUACCGCAUACGCCCUUCGGGGGAAAGAUUUAUCGGUGAAGGAUCGGCCCGCGUUAGAUUAGAUAGUUGGUGGGGUAACGGCCUACCAAGUCUACGAUCUAUAGCUGGUUUUAGAGGAUGAUCAGCAACACUGGGACUGAGACACGGCCCAGACUCCUACGGGAGGCAGCAGUGGGGAAUCUUGGACAAUGGGCGCAAGCCUGAUCCAGCCAUGCCGCGUGAGUGAUGAAGGCCUUAGGGUCGUAAAGCUCUUUCGCCAGAGAUGAUAAUGACAGUAUCUGGUAAAGAAACCCCGGCUAACUCCGUGCCAGCAGCCGCGGUAAUACGGAGGGGGUUAGCGUUGUUCGGAAUUACUGGGCGUAAAGCGCACGUAGGCGGAUCAGAAAGUUGGGGGUGAAAUCCCGGGGCUCAACCCCGGAACUGCCUCCAAAACUCCUGGUCUUGAGUUCGAGAGAGGUGAGUGGAAUUCCGAGUGUAGAGGUGAAAUUCGUAGAUAUUCGGAGGAACACCAGUGGCGAAGGCGGCUCACUGGCUCGAUACUGACGCUGAGGUGCGAAAGUGUGGGGAGCAAACAGGAUUAGAUACCCUGGUAGUC
RNAcentral lists this ribosomal RNA (709 nucleotides) under Marinovum sp. RNAcentral describes it as "bacterial SSU rRNA". It matches the Rfam family "Bacterial small subunit ribosomal RNA", at positions 42 to 795 of the family's 1533-position model. Lineage: Bacteria; Pseudomonadati; Pseudomonadota; Alphaproteobacteria; Rhodobacterales; Roseobacteraceae. The record is from RNAcentral.